AUUGAACGCUGGCGGAAUGCUUUACACAUGCAAGUCGAACGGCAGCACGGACUUCGGUCUGGUGGCGAGUGGCGAACGGGUGAGUAAUGUAUCGGAACGUGCCCAGUCGUGGGGGAUAACGUAGUGAAAAUUACGCUAAUACCGCAUACGAUCUAUGGAUGAAAGCGGGGGAUCGCAAGACCUCGCGCGAUUGGAGCGGCCGAUAUCAGAUUAGGUAGUUGGUGAGGUAAAGGCCCACCAAGCCAACGAUCUGUAGCUGGUCUGAGAGGACGACCAGCCACACUGGAACCGAGACACGGUCCAGACUCCUACGGGAGGCAGCAGUGGGGAAUUUUGGACAAUGGGCGAAAGCCUGAUCCAGCCAUUCCGCGUGCAGGAUGAAGGCCCUCGGGUUGUAAACUGCUUUUGUACAGAACGAAAAGGUUUCUACUAAUACUAGGAGCUCAUGACGGUACUGUAAGAAUAAGCACCGGCUAACUACGUGCCAGCAGCCGCAGUAA
Molecule: ribosomal RNA, 500 nt
Filed under: uncultured bacterium
Lineage: Bacteria
Description: partial 16S ribosomal RNA
Rfam family: Bacterial small subunit ribosomal RNA
Source: RNAcentral